AUGGGCAGCCAAACCAUCCUGAAUGCACCCCAUCUUGUCUGAUCUUGGAAGCUAGGCAGGGUCAGGUCUGGUUAGUACUUGGAUAGGAGAAAGCCUUUAGUCAGUAACCACUCUGUUCCAGCCAAUU
Ribosomal RNA from Saimiri boliviensis boliviensis (Bolivian squirrel monkey), 127 nucleotides. The record is from Ensembl. Lineage: Eukaryota; Metazoa; Chordata; Mammalia; Primates; Cebidae.